Molecule: transfer RNA, 86 nt
Filed under: Plutella xylostella (diamondback moth)
Lineage: Eukaryota; Metazoa; Arthropoda; Insecta; Lepidoptera; Plutellidae
Description: tRNA-Ser
Source: RNAcentral
GCCCGAACUGCUACAUUUGGCUAAGUGGCGGUUAGUGACCCUGACUGCUAUGCCGAAGGUCCCGGGUUCGAUUCCCGGCUGGGGCA